UCUCCGUUGGUGAACCAGCGGAGGGAUCAUUGCUGGAAGCGUCUCACGGCGCACCCAGAAACCCUAUGUGAACCUAUACCUCUCUGUUGCCUCGGCGCUGGCUGGGAGCUUCUAUAAACUCCCCCUCUGCGGAAGGGUGGCGGUCCUCACGGGCCACCCCCCAAGCCGAGGAGCAGGCCCGCCGGCGGCCCUUUAAACUCUUGUUUUAAACGUAUCUCUUCUGAGUACAAAUUAUAAAUGAAUCAAAACUUUCAACAACGGAUCUCUUGGUUCUGGCAUCGAUGAAGAACGCAGC
RNAcentral lists this unclassified non-coding RNA (295 nucleotides) under uncultured fungus. Its description in RNAcentral is "sequence contains ITS1, 5.8S rRNA gene". The stretch from base 247 to 295 matches the Rfam family "5.8S ribosomal RNA", at positions 1 to 49 of the family's 154-position model. Lineage: Eukaryota; Fungi. The record is from RNAcentral.